AUCCGCGCGCUUAACGCGCGGGCGUCCGGUGGAAACUGCGUGGCUUGGGACCGGAAGACCAGAGGGGUACGUCCGGGGUAGGAGUGAAAUCCCGUAAUCCUGGACGGACCACCGGUGGCGAAAGCGCCUCUGGAAGACGGAUCCGACGGUGAGGGACGAAAGCUCGGGUCACGAACCGGAUUAGAUACCCGGGUAGUCCGAGCUGUAAACGAUGUCUGCUAGGUGUGGCACAGGCUACGAGCCUGUGCUGUGCCGUAGGGAAGCCGUGAAGCAGACCGCCUGGGAAGUACGUCCGCAAGGAUGAAACUUAAAGGAAUUGGCGGGGGAGCACUACAACCGGAGGAGCCUGCGGUUUAAUUGGACUCAACGCCGGACAUCUCACCAGCAUCGACAAUGUGCAGUGAAAGUCAGGUUGAUGACCUUACUGGAGCCAUUGAGAGGAGGUGCAUGGCCGCCGUCAGCUCGUACCGUGAGGCGUCCUGUUAAGUCAGGCAACGAGCGAGACCCGCACUCCUAAUUGCCAGCAACACCCUCGUGGUGGUUGGGUACAUUAGGAGGACUGCCAGUGCCAAACUGGAGGAAGGAACGGGCAACGGUAGGUCAGUAUGCCCCGAAUGUGCUGGGCGACACGCGGGCUACAAUGGCCGAGACAGUGGGAUG
Molecule: ribosomal RNA, 660 nt
Filed under: Natrinema sp.
Lineage: Archaea; Methanobacteriati; Methanobacteriota; Halobacteria; Halobacteriales; Natrialbaceae
Description: bacterial SSU rRNA
Rfam family: Archaeal small subunit ribosomal RNA
Source: RNAcentral